GAGUUUGAUCAUGGCUCAGGAUGAACGCUGGCGGCGUGCUUAACACAUGCAAGUCGAACGAAGCGCCCUAUUUGAUUUUCUUCGGAACUGAAGAUUUGGUGACUGAGUGGCGGACGGGUGAGUAACGCGUGGGUAACCUGCCCUGUACAGGGGGAUAACAAUCAGAAAUGACUGCUAAUACCGCAUAAGACCACAGCACCGCAUGGUGCAGGGGGUAAAAAACUCCGGUGGUACAGGAUGGACCCGCGUCUGAUUAGCUGGUUGGUGAGGUAACGGCUCACCAAGGCGACGAUCAGUAGCCGGCUUGAGAGAGUGAACGGCCACAUUGGGACUGAGACACGGCCCAAACUCCUACGGGAGGGCAGCAGUGGGGAAUAUUGCACAAUGGGGGAAACCCUGAUGCAGCAACGCCGCGUGAGUGAAGAAGUAUUUCGGUAUGUAAAGCUCUAUCAGCAGGGAAGAAAGUGACGGUACCUGACUAAGAAGCCCCGGCUAACUACGUGCCAGCAGCCGCCG
RNAcentral lists this ribosomal RNA (516 nucleotides) under uncultured microorganism. Its description in RNAcentral is "bacterial SSU rRNA". It matches the Rfam family "Bacterial small subunit ribosomal RNA", at positions 9 to 520 of the family's 1533-position model. The record is from RNAcentral.